This 1488-nucleotide ribosomal RNA is filed under the name metagenome. Its description in RNAcentral is "bacterial SSU rRNA". It matches the Rfam family "Bacterial small subunit ribosomal RNA". The record is from RNAcentral.
AGAGUUUGAUCCUGGCUCAGGACGAACGCUGGCGGCGUGCUUAACACAUGCAAGUCUACUUGAAGGGGCAACUCUGAUGGUGGCGAACGGGUGAGUAACGCGUAGACAAUCUGCCCCUCAGUCUGGAAUAAUUCAUGGAAACGUGGACUAAUACCGGAUAAUAUCAUUUUAACGCAUGUUGAUUUGAUUAAAGACCUUGAGUUGCUGAGGGAUGAGUCUGCGUGGCAUUAGCUUGUUGGUGAGGUAACGGCUCACCAAGGCAACGAUGCCUAGCUGGUCUGAGAGGAUGAUCAGCCACACUGGGACUGAGAUACGGCCCAGACUCCUACGGGAGGCAGCAGUGAGGAAUAUUGCACAAUGGGGGCAACCCUGAUGCAGCAACGCCGCGUGUAUGAUGAAACUGCUCUGCAGCUAAAGUACUGUUAAUCGUGAAGAACUAUAGGGUCAGUCGCCUUAUUUGACUGUAGCGAUAGAGGAAGCUCCGGCUAACUCCGUGCCAGCAGCCGCGGUAAUACGGAGGGAGCGAGCGUUGUCCGGAUUUAUUGGGCGUAAAGGGCAUGUAGGUUGGAUGAUCAGUCAGUUGUAAAAUCUUAUGGCUUAACCAUAUUAAGCAAUUGAUACUGUCAUUCUUGAGUUUGUGAGGGGUCGAUGGAAUACCUAGUGUAGCGGUGGAAUGCGUAGAUAUUAGGUAGAACACCUGUGGAGAAGUCGGUCGACUGGCACAACACUGACACUGAUAUGCGAAAGCGUGGGUAGCAAACAGGAUUAGAUACCCUGGUAGUCCACGCCGUAAACGAUGGGCACUAGGUGUCUGGGGACUAGUCCCCCGGGUGCCGUAGCUAACGCGUUAAGUGCCCCGCCUGGGGAGUACGGCCGCAAGGCUGAAACUCAAAGGAAUUGACGGGGGCCCGCACAAGCGGUGGAGCAUGUGGUUUAAUUCGAUGCAACGCGAAGAACCUUACCUGGGCUUGAACAGCAAGUGGUCGUUACAGAGAUGUAAUUUUUCCGGCAACGGAACACUUGUAGAGGUGCUGCAUGGCUGUCGUCAGCUCGUGUCGUGAGAUGUUGGGUUAAGUCCCGCAACGAGCGCAACCCUUAUCAUUAGUUGCCAGCGAGUUAUGUCGGGGACUCUAAUGAGACUGCCUGCGUUAAGCAGGAGGAAGGUGGGGAUGACGUCAAGUCCUCAUGGCCUUUAUGUCCAGGGCUACACACGUGCUACAAUGGGCGGUACAGAGAGUCGCUAUACUGCGAAGUAAUGCUAAUCUCCAAAACCGUUCCCAGUUCGGAUUGAAGUCUGCAACUCGACUUCAUGAAGCCGGAAUCGCUAGUAAUCGCGGAUCAGCAUGCCGCGGUGAAUACGUUCCCGGGCCUUGUACACACCGCCCGUCACACCAUGGAAGUUGAUAGUGCCCGAAGCAACUGGUCUAACCGCAAGGGGGAAGGUUGCGAAGGCAAGAUUGAUAACUGGGGUGAAGUCGUAACAAGGUA